UACGUAGGGGCCUAGCGUUGUCCGGAUUUAUUGGGCGUAAAGAGCUCGUAGGCGGUUCGGUAAGUCAGGUGUGAAAUCUCCACGCUCAACGUGGAGGCGCCACCUGAAACUGCCGUGACUCGAGUCCGGUAGGGGAGUGUGGAAUUCCUGGUGUAGCGGUGAAAUGCGCAGAUAUCAGGAAGAACACCCGUGGCGAAAGCGGCUCUCUGGAACGGUACUGACGCUGAGACGCGAAAGCGUGGGGAGCGAACAGG
RNAcentral lists this ribosomal RNA (254 nucleotides) under uncultured bacterium. RNAcentral describes it as "partial 16S ribosomal RNA". It matches the Rfam family "Bacterial small subunit ribosomal RNA", at positions 524 to 776 of the family's 1533-position model. The record is from RNAcentral.